UGAAGAUGAUUGAUCGAUCACAUUGCUCGGCCAACCACAUCAACAGCUUAACCCACUCGUAUGGGAAUAGAGAGGGUCUCAUCCGAUCGACGACCACACCCUCCUCGUACAAGAGCUAAAGGAGGGCUUCAAUUUUUCAUCCACCGUCAAAGAUGACCGUGCAGCUGAGAUGGGGAUGCGGGAUAUAUGAUAAUGGAUCGUUGGCCCCACC
This 211-nucleotide long non-coding RNA is filed under the name Elaeis guineensis (African oil palm). RNAcentral describes it as "long non-coding RNA (EGUI_LNC017756)". Lineage: Eukaryota; Viridiplantae; Streptophyta; Magnoliopsida; Arecales; Arecaceae. The record is from RNAcentral.